UUUCUCCUUAAAAAUUACAAUUUAAUGAGAGAGCUUAUAAUUUUGUUUUGUAAAUAUUUGAAGUUGAAUAAUGAAUUUGUGAGUUUUGUUUUUGAUUUUUUUUUGCGCUUUUCCUUUUUAUCGAUAUGCUUCCACGUGCAUAGAAAUUUAUUUCUUUUGUUAUUUUCCCAAUAACAGUUAUAAGAGAUAAGAUUCCGAUCAAUGGUGGAAGAAGACAAAAAGAUGAAGAGUAAUAAUUUUAUAAAUAUGGUUAAUCAUUAUAAUUAUAAUGAUCAUUUUGAAGAUGAAGUUGA
Molecule: long non-coding RNA, 293 nt
Filed under: Lathyrus oleraceus (garden pea)
Lineage: Eukaryota; Viridiplantae; Streptophyta; Magnoliopsida; Fabales; Fabaceae
Description: Pisum sativum (pea) long non-coding RNA (PSAT_LNC012720)
Source: RNAcentral